GCAGCCCCGGGGCUCCUUGCGGCCCCCUCCGCGCCUCGUUCCGGUACCGCCAGGCUCACCCUUGUCCCGCAGGAGCCUUCCAUCUUUUGGGAUCUCCCGAUCAUCUCAACUGCAGCUUGGCAUUUUUUCACAAGUGUUAUCUGGUCCUGAGGUGAAGCUACUCUGUGUUGAAGAUGGCUACAGACACCCAGAUGCAGAGCCCUGGUCCCAGGAGGCUCUAGGCACCGGAGGGGAGGUGAUUCGGGUGAGUACUGGUGAGCAAGGGGUUCUGCCACCUUCUAACAGACAGUCCAAUGCUUCAGGGACCCUGUCGGUAAGAGGUCCAGGAGAGAGAAUGUGUGCAGCCUCAGAGGGCUGGAGCCACCUGCCAAUUAGGUGUGAUGGUCUUCAGCUGUCCUGGUGAGUAAUCCC
Molecule: long non-coding RNA, 411 nt
Organism: Pseudopipra pipra
Lineage: Eukaryota; Metazoa; Chordata; Aves; Passeriformes; Pipridae
Exons: 5
Source: RefSeq, a predicted model, not a curated record